RNAcentral lists this ribosomal RNA (468 nucleotides) under uncultured bacterium. RNAcentral describes it as "partial 16S ribosomal RNA". It matches the Rfam family "Bacterial small subunit ribosomal RNA", at positions 28 to 507 of the family's 1533-position model. The record is from RNAcentral.
GACGAACGCUGGCGGCGUGCUUAACACAUGCAAGUCGAACGGACAGGUCAUGCUCUUGCGCGGUGCUCGAGAGGCGAACGGGUGAGUAACACGUGAGUAACAUGUCCCUGUCUGUGGGAUAACUCCUGGAGACAGGGGCUCAUACCGGAUAGGAGCUCUUGAUGCGUGGUGGGGGUUGGUAAGUUUCGGCGGUUGGGGAUGGACUCGCGGCUUAUCAGCCUGUUGGUGGGGUAGUGGCUUACCAAGGCUAUGACGGGUAGCCGGCCUGAGAGGGUGACCGGCCACAUUGGGACUGAGAUACGGCCCAGACUCCUACGGGAGGCAGCAGUGGGGAAUAUUGCACAAUGGGCGGAAGCCUGAUGCAGCAACGCCGCGUGCGGGAUGACGGCCUUCGGGUUGUAAACCGCUUUCGCCUGUGACGAAGCGUGAGUGACGGUAAUGGGUAAAGAAGCACCGGCUAACUACGUG